This 719-nucleotide ribosomal RNA is filed under the name uncultured bacterium. RNAcentral describes it as "bacterial SSU rRNA". It matches the Rfam family "Bacterial small subunit ribosomal RNA", at positions 136 to 851 of the family's 1533-position model. The record is from RNAcentral.
CAGGGGGAUAACCCGGAGAAAUCCGGCCUAAUACCGCGUAACACCUUUUGGGAGCAUUCCCGGGAGGUUAAAGGAGAGAUCCGGCAUAGGAUGGACAUGCGUCGCAUUAGGUAGACGGCGGGGUAACGGCCCACCGUGCCGACGAUGCGUAGGGGUUCUGAGAGGAAGGCCCCCCACACUGGUACUGAGACACGGACCAGACUCCUACGGGAGGCAGCAGUGAGGAAUAUUGGUCAAUGGCCGAGAGGCUGAACCAGCCAAGUCGCGUGAGGGAAGAAUGUCCUAAGGAUUGUAAACCUCUUUUGUCGGGGAGCAAAAAGGCUCUGCGGAGUCGUAUUGAGAGUACCCGAAGAAAAAGCAUCGGCUAACUCCGUGCCAGCAGCCGCGGUAAUACGGAGGAUGCGAGCGUUAUCCGGAUUUAUUGGGUUUAAAGGGUGCGCAGGCGGCGUGUCAAGCAAGCGGUAAAAUAGCGGGGCUCAACCCCGUCGAGCCGUUUGAACUGGCGCGCUUGAGUUCAGGCGAGGUAGGCGGAAUUCGUGGUGUAGCGGUGAAAUGCAUAGAUAUCACGAAGAACUCCGAUUGCGAAGGCAGCUUACCAGUCUGCGACUGACGCUCAGGCACGAAAGUGUGGGUAUCGAACAGGAUUAGAUACCCUGGUAGUCCACACAGUAAACGAUGAGCACUAGGUGUCCGGGUCGCAUGAGACUUGGGUGCCCGAG